GACGAACGCUGGCGGCGUGCCUAAUACAUGCAAGUAGAACGCACAGUUUAUACGGUAGCUUGCUACACCAUAGACUGUGAGUUGCGAAGGGGUGAGUAACGCGUAGGUAACCUGCCGGGAGGCGGGGGAUAACUAUUGGAAACGAUAGCUAAUACGGAAUAAUAUUAAUUAUGGAUUGAUAAUUAAUUGAAAGGUGCAAUUGAACAACUACCAGUGGGACCGGCGUUGUAUUAGCUAGUAGGUGAGGUAAGGGCUCACCUAGGCGACGAUACAUAGCCGACCUGAGGGGGUGAUCGGCCACACUGGGACUGAGACACGGCCCAGACUCCUACGGGAGGCAGCAGUAGGGAAUCUUCGGCAAUGGACGAAAGUCUGACCGAGCAACGCCGCGUGAGUGAAGAAGGGUUUCGGAUCGUAAAGCUCUGUUGUAAGAGAAGAACGGGUGUGAGAGUGGAAAGUUCACACUGUGACGGUAUCUUACCAGAAAGGGACGGCUAACUACGUG
RNAcentral lists this ribosomal RNA (505 nucleotides) under uncultured bacterium. RNAcentral's name for it is "partial 16S ribosomal RNA". It matches the Rfam family "Bacterial small subunit ribosomal RNA", at positions 28 to 507 of the family's 1533-position model. The record is from RNAcentral.